RNAcentral lists this ribosomal RNA (252 nucleotides) under uncultured bacterium. Its description in RNAcentral is "partial 16S ribosomal RNA". It matches the Rfam family "Bacterial small subunit ribosomal RNA", at positions 524 to 775 of the family's 1533-position model. The record is from RNAcentral.
UACAGAGGUCCCAAGCGUUGUUCGGAUUCAUUGGGCGUAAAGGGUGCGUAGGUGGCGCGCUAAGUCAGGUGUGAAAUCUCGGGGCUUAACUCCGAAACUGCAUUUGAUACUGGCGUGCUUGAGGACUGGAGAGGAGACUGGAAUUUACGGUGUAGCAGUGAAAUGCGUAGAGAUCGUAAGGAAGACCAGUGGCGAAGGCGGGUCUCUGGACAGUUCCUGACACUGAGGCACGAAGGCCAGGGGAGCAAACGG